AGAGAGAGACAUGCGCGCAUAUCAAUAAGCGGAGGAAAAGAAACUAACAAGGAUUCCCUUAGUAACGGCGAGUGAAGCGGGAAGAGCUCAAAUUUGAAAUCUUCAAGGUUUUACCUUGACGAAUUGUUAGUUUAAAGAAGUGUUUUCUGCUGAAGUUUUGGUAAAAGUUCUUUGGAAUAGGACAUCAUAGAGGGUGAGAAUCCCGUAUUUGACCAUUAUUUCCAGCUUUGUGAUACACUUUCAAAGAGUCGGAUUGUUUGGGAAUGCAGUCCAAAAUGGGUGGUAAAUUUCAUCUAAAGCUAAAUAUUGGCGAGAGACCGAUAGCGAACAAGUACCGUGAGGGAAAGAUGAAAAGAACUUUGAAAAGAGAGUUAAACAGUACGUGAAAUUGUCAAAAGGGAAGCGUUUGACACCAGUGUUGUUUUCUCGAAAAUCAAUUAAAAAUGGCUCGAUUUUGUAUUGCUGAGACCUUAAAAGCUCACUGUACAUUUUUCGUGUCUUUUUUAAUGCACUUUUCGUUUAACAAGUCAACAUCAGUUUCUUUUGUUGUAAAAGGGUCAUUGGAAGGUGGCUUUCUUUUCGGAGAAAGUGUUAUAGCCUUUGGCCUCUGCAAUCGAAGAGACUGAGGUCUGCAGCGUAGACUCUUCGGGGUUAGAUACAUUUGUGCUAAGUUAUAGCUUUUUAUAGACAACUUGUUGACUAUAAUUAGUCUUGUAGCUUACUCGCUUAUGCUAUUUUACCUACGCUUAGGAUGUUGAAGAUGUAGCACAUCA
Molecule: ribosomal RNA, 773 nt
Filed under: uncultured Neocallimastigales
Lineage: Eukaryota; Fungi; Neocallimastigomycota; Neocallimastigomycetes; Neocallimastigales
Description: partial large subunit ribosomal RNA
Rfam family: Eukaryotic large subunit ribosomal RNA
Source: RNAcentral